This 76-nucleotide transfer RNA is filed under the name uncultured archaeon. RNAcentral's name for it is "tRNA-His(gtg)". It matches the Rfam family "tRNA". From Rfam's summary of the family: Transfer RNA (tRNA) molecules are approximately 80 nucleotides in length. Their secondary structure includes four short double-helical elements and three loops (D, anti-codon, and T loops). Further hydrogen bonds mediate the characteristic L-shaped molecular structure. tRNAs have two regions of fundamental functional importance: the anti-codon, which is responsible for specific mRNA codon recognition, and the 3' end, to which the tRNAs corresponding amino acid is attached (by aminoacyl-tRNA synthetases). tRNAs cope with the degeneracy of the genetic code in two manners: having more than one tRNA (with a specific anti-codon) for a particular amino acid; and 'wobble' base-pairing, i.e. permitting non-standard base-pairing at the 3rd anti-codon position. The record is from RNAcentral.
GGCCCGAAUAGUGUAGCCUGGUAACAUAUGGGACUGUGGAUCCUCUGUGCCGGGUUCAAAUCCCGGUUCGGGCCUC